Molecule: long non-coding RNA, 263 nt
Filed under: Homo sapiens (human)
Lineage: Eukaryota; Metazoa; Chordata; Mammalia; Primates; Hominidae
Description: non-protein coding lnc-PCLAF-2:1
Source: RNAcentral
GCUGGGCACAGUGGCUUAUGACUGUAAUCCCAGCACUUUGGGAGGCUGAGGUGGGCAGAUUGCUUGAGUGCAGGAAUUCGAGACCAGCCUGGGCAACAUGGCCAAACCCCAUUUCAACAAAAAAAUGCAAAAAUUAGCCUGGCGUGGUGGUGUGUGCCUAUAGUUCCAGCUACUUAGGAGCUGGGACUUCUUUGUAGAUAUGGGGUUUUGCCAUGUUGCCCAGGCUGGUCCUGAACUCCUGGGCUCAAGCAGUCUUCCCUCCU